GCUAUUUUAGUAUAUUUUAGUAUGUUUGACUUGUAAUCAAUUGGAUUAAAUAGCU
Molecule: transfer RNA, 55 nt
Filed under: Strongyloides cebus
Lineage: Eukaryota; Metazoa; Nematoda; Chromadorea; Rhabditida; Strongyloididae
Description: tRNA-Thr
Source: RNAcentral